This 478-nucleotide ribosomal RNA is filed under the name uncultured bacterium. RNAcentral's name for it is "bacterial SSU rRNA". It matches the Rfam family "Bacterial small subunit ribosomal RNA", at positions 29 to 498 of the family's 1533-position model. The record is from RNAcentral.
AGUGAACGCUGGCGGCAGGCCUAAUACAUGCAAGUCGAACGGCAGCACAGUGGAGCUUGCUCCAUGGGUGGCGAGUGGCGGACGGGUGAGGAAUACAUGGGAAUCUGCCCAGUCGUGGGGGAUAACGUAUGGAAACGUACGCUAAUACCGCAUGCGCCCUUCGGGGGAAAGUCGGGGACCGCAAGGCCUGACGCGAUUGGAUGAGCCCAUGUUCGAUUAGCUAGUUGGCGGGGUAACGGCCCACCAAGGCGACGAUCGAUAGCUGGUCUGAGAGGAUGAUCAGCCACACUGGAACUGAGACACGGUCCAGACUCCUACGGGAGGCAGCAGUAGGGAAUAUUGGACAAUGGGCGCAAGCCUGAUCCAGCCAUGCCGCGUGAGUGAAGAAGGCCUUGGUUGUAAGCUCUUCGGUCUGGGAAGAAUCGCAUCUCCUAAUACGGGUGGUGGAGUGACGGUACCAGCAUAAGAAGACACCGGA